This 73-nucleotide transfer RNA is filed under the name Stegodyphus mimosarum. It matches the Rfam family "tRNA". From Rfam's summary of the family: Transfer RNA (tRNA) molecules are approximately 80 nucleotides in length. The record is from Rfam by way of RNAcentral. Lineage: Eukaryota; Metazoa; Arthropoda; Arachnida; Araneae; Eresidae.
GUCUUCAUGGUGUAAUGGUCAGCACGCUCGGCGCGUAUUCGGGAGGUCCUUGGUUCGAGUCCUGGUGAAGGCU